RNAcentral lists this ribosomal RNA (440 nucleotides) under uncultured bacterium. RNAcentral describes it as "partial 16S ribosomal RNA". It matches the Rfam family "Bacterial small subunit ribosomal RNA", at positions 338 to 795 of the family's 1533-position model. The record is from RNAcentral.
CCUACGGUGCGCAGCAGUGGGGAAUAUUGCACAAUGGGGGAAACCCUGAUGCAGCGACGCCGCGUGAGCGAUGAAGUAUUUAGGUAUGUAAAGCUCUAUUAGCCGGGAAGAAAAUGACGGUACCUGACUAACAAGCCCCGGCUAACUACGUGCCAGCAGCAGCGGUAAUACGUAGGGGGCAAGCGUUAUCCGGAUUUACUGGGUGUAAAGGGAGCGUAGACGGCUGUGCAAGCCAGGUGUGAAAGCCCGGGGCUCAACCCCGGGACGGCAUUUGGAACUGUGUGGCUGGAGUGUCGGAGAGGCAGGCGGAAUGCGUGGUGUAGCAGGGAAAUGCGUAGAUAUUAAGAGGAACACCAGUGGCGAAGGCGGCCUGCUGGACGAUGACUGACGUUGAGGCUCGAAAGCGUGGGGAGCGAACAGGAUUAGAUACCCUGGUAGUC